RNAcentral lists this ribosomal RNA (253 nucleotides) under uncultured bacterium. Its description in RNAcentral is "partial 16S ribosomal RNA". It matches the Rfam family "Bacterial small subunit ribosomal RNA", at positions 524 to 776 of the family's 1533-position model. The record is from RNAcentral.
UACGGAGGGGGCAAGCGUUGUUCGGAAUCAUUGGGCGUAAAGGGCGCGUAGGCGGCCGAUCAAGUCGGGUGUGAAAUCCCUCGGCUCAACCGAGGAACUGCACUCGAUACUGAUCGGCUCGAGUCCGGGAGGGGAUGGUGGAAUUCCCAGUGUAGCGGUGAAAUGCGUAGAGAUGGGGGAGAACACUCGUGGCGAAGGCGGCCAGCUAGACCAGUUCUGACACUGAGGCGCGACAGCGUGGGGAGCAAACAGG